This 741-nucleotide ribosomal RNA is filed under the name Pallidocercospora holualoana. RNAcentral describes it as "eukaryotic LSU rRNA". It matches the Rfam family "Eukaryotic large subunit ribosomal RNA", at positions 96 to 869 of the family's 3401-position model. Lineage: Eukaryota; Fungi; Ascomycota; Dothideomycetes; Mycosphaerellales; Mycosphaerellaceae. The record is from RNAcentral.
AAGCGGCAACAGCUCAAAUUUGAAAUCUGGCGCAAGCCCGAGUUGUAAUUUGUAGAGGAUGCUUCUAGGCAGCGGCCGUUCUAAGUUCCUUGGAACAGGACGUCAUAGAGGGUGAGAAUCCCGUAUGUGACCGGCACGCACCUUUUACGUAGCUCCUUCGACGAGUCGAGUUGUUUGGGAAUGCAGCUCUAAAUGGGAGGUAAAUUUCUUCUAAAGCUAAAUACCGGCUGGAGACCGAUAGCGCACAAGUAGAGUGAUCGAAAGAUGAAAAGCACUUUGGAAAGAGAGUUAAAAAGCACGUGAAAUUGUUGAAAGGGAAGCGCCUGCAACCAGACUUCGUGGCAGUGUUCCGCCGGUCUUCUGACCGGUCUAUUCUCUGUCGCGAGGCCAUCAUCGUCUGGGGCCGCCGGAUAAGACUGGAGGAAUGUAGCUCCCCUCGGGGAGUGUUAUAGCUUCCAGUGAUGCGGCGUGUCUCGGGCGAGGUCCGCGCUUCGGCAAGGAUGAUGGCGUAAUGGUUGUCGGCGGCCCGUCUUGAAACACGGACCAAGGAGUCUAACAUCUAUGCGAGUGUUCGGGUGUCAAACCCCUACGCGUAAUGAAAGUGAACGGAGGUGGGAACUUUUUGUGCACCAUCGACCGAUCCUGAUGUCCUCGGAUGGAUUUGAGUAAGAGCAUAGCUGUUGGGACCCGAAAGAUGGUGAACUAUGCCUGAAUAGGGUGAAGCCAGAGGAAACUCUGGUG